CUCCCUGGGGGGGAACCAGCCGCAGUGCAGUGCGCUGGAAACCCUCUCUUCCCUGGAAGCCUGGGCCCGUGUCAUCGCCCUGCCUCUCCUCGCCCUCGACCACAACCACGGAUAACCCCAGAGUGACCCCUCGGGCUGUCUGGUCAGGGGUGGAGUUCUGGCGGCCCCCGGCAAAGUGUCUGAGUCACACUCUCUCGUCACAUCCUUUCGCUUCCCCAAGCGGUUCGGACGCGAAAGGCCUUUCUGAUUGGCCGCCUCCAGGGGCCAGUGUCCCGAAGCGGCUGGCCGGCUGGGGGUCCGGAGCGCAUAAGUACGUCCCGCUGGGGAGGGCGGUCCCAGACGUCCGGAGCUGCGGCUGCCGGGAGCCGCUAGGGGGGGACAGGCUCACUUCCUGAGCGAAUGAAUGAGAUUUCCUUCCGGAAGAUGCUCGGAAGGGCACCCUUUACCCUUCGCAGGGAAGGAAGCCUUGGGAAUGUGGAACAGAAGGACCGUAAAUAAAGUUUCUACAUGUAAUUCUGUAAAAGGCCUGGCAGAGAGGGUCAGGAGGAGUUCCUUAGGUCGAAGAUAAAGAUGCAGCACAGAUAUGUGCUCUUUUACCUUCCUCCCUAUCCUGAAAGGGCUAAUUUUCUGGUAACUCAAAAUCGUCUUGCCUCUUCAAUGUGUGCCAAUAAAUAAAUCACAAAUAAAUAAAUUUGUUAAAGCAUC
This is a long non-coding RNA of Mustela lutreola (European mink), 705 nucleotides long. RefSeq lists it as uncharacterized. Lineage: Eukaryota; Metazoa; Chordata; Mammalia; Carnivora; Mustelidae. The transcript is spliced from 2 exons. The record is from RefSeq and is a predicted model, not a curated record.